CUCCCGCCAGGGCCUCACAGCAGGCCGCAAUCCCACUCGCCCACCAGACCGCAUCGCCAGCGGAGUGGGGGCUGGUACUUGCCCCGAAGGUUGGUGGUCGGGUCCCCUUUGUCCUCCCACAGCAGCUGAGGGUUUUCCAGGCGAGUAGGGGCAUUUUGGAGCUGGCUAUUGCGGGUUUGUCAGGGAGCUGAGGCGCCCCAUGUCCACUCAGCUCGGCGGCCAG
Non-coding RNA from Pelobates cultripes (western spadefoot toad), 223 nucleotides. The record is from the annotation of a GenBank genome assembly. NCBI's taxonomy places the organism in Eukaryota, Metazoa, Chordata, Amphibia, Anura, Pelobatidae.